RNAcentral lists this ribosomal RNA (835 nucleotides) under uncultured bacterium. Its description in RNAcentral is "bacterial SSU rRNA". It matches the Rfam family "Bacterial small subunit ribosomal RNA", at positions 590 to 1426 of the family's 1533-position model. The record is from RNAcentral.
UGAAGUUAAAGNCAUUGGCUCAACCAAUGUAUGCUUUGGAAACUGUUAGACUUGAGUGCAGAAGGGGAGAGUGGAAUUCCAUGUGUAGCGGUGAAAUGCGUAGAUAUAUGGAGGAACACCGGUGGCGAAAGCGGCUCUCUGGUCUGUCACUGACGCUGAGGCUCGAAAGCGUGGGUAGCGAACAGGAUUAGAUACCCUGGUAGUCCACGCCGUAAACGCUGAGUGCUAGGUGUUAGGUCCUUUCCGGGACUUAGUGCCGACGCUAACGCAUUAAGCACUCCGCCUGGGGAGUACGACCGCAAGGUUGAAACUCAAAGGAAUUGACGGGGGCCCGCACAAGCGGUGGAGCAUGUGGUUUAAUUCGAAGCAACGCGAAGAACCUUACCAGGUCUUGACAUCCCGAUGCCCGCUCUAGAGAUAGAGUUUUUCUUCGGAACAUCGGAGACAGGUGGUGCAUGGUUGUCGUCAGCUCGUGUCGUGAGAUGUUGGGUUAAGUCCCGCAACGAGCGCAACCCUUAUUGUUAGUUGCCAUCAUUAAGUUGGGCACUCUAGCGAGACUGCCGGUAAUAAACCGGAGGAAGGUGGGGAUGACGUCAAAUCAUCAUGCCCCUUAUGACCUGGGCUACACACGUGCUACAAUGGUUGGUACAACGAGUCGCAAGCCGGUGACGGCAAGCUAAUCUCUGAAAGCCAAUCUCAGUUCGGAUUGUAGGCUGCAACUCGCCUACAUGAAGUCGGAAUCGCUAGUAAUCGCGGAUCAGCACGCCGCGGUGAAUACGUUCCCGGGCCUUGUACACACCGCCCGUCACACCACGAGAGUUUGUAACACCCAAAG